This 105-nucleotide non-coding RNA is filed under the name Clostridium grantii. Its description in RNAcentral is "TPP sequence". It matches the Rfam family "TPP riboswitch aptamer (THI element)". From Rfam's summary of the family: Vitamin B(1) in its active form thiamin pyrophosphate (TPP) is an essential coenzyme that is synthesised by coupling of pyrimidine and thiazole moieties in bacteria. The previously detected thiamin-regulatory element, thi box was extended, resulting in a new, highly conserved RNA secondary structure, the THI element, which is widely distributed in eubacteria and also occurs in some archaea. Lineage: Bacteria; Bacillati; Bacillota; Clostridia; Eubacteriales; Clostridiaceae. RNAcentral also lists the same sequence under 1 other name. The record is from RNAcentral.
UAAAUUUGCUAGGGGUGCUUAUUAUAAGCUGAGACUGAGAUUUUUUUCUAACCCUCAUAACCUGAUUUAGAUAAUUCUAACGUAGGGAAGUACAGUUAAUGUUGA